AAUUUGUUACAAGGGGGGAAACCCUGAUCCAGCCAUCCCGCGUGUAUGAUGAAGGCCNNNGGGUUNUCAAGUACUUUUUUCAGNGACNAAAAGGUAUCUCCUAAUACGAGAUACUGCUGACGGUAUCUGCAGAAUAAGCAUCGGCUACCUACGUGCCAGCAGACGCGGUAAUACGUAGGGUGCAAGCGUUAAUCGGAAUUACUGGGCGUAAAGCGUGUGUAGGCGGUUCGGAAAGAAAGAUGUGAAGACACAGCGCUCAACCUUGGAACUGCAUUUUUAACUGCCGGGCUAGAGUAUGUCAGAGGGGGGUAGAAUUCCACGUGUAGCAGUGAAAUGCGUAGAUAUGUGGAGGAAUACCGAUGGCGAAGGCAGCCCCCUGGGAUAAUACUGACGCUCAGACACGAAAGCGUGGGGAGCAAACA
RNAcentral lists this ribosomal RNA (422 nucleotides) under uncultured bacterium. RNAcentral's name for it is "partial 16S ribosomal RNA". It matches the Rfam family "Bacterial small subunit ribosomal RNA", at positions 360 to 774 of the family's 1533-position model. The record is from RNAcentral.